Long non-coding RNA from Triticum aestivum (bread wheat), 773 nucleotides. RefSeq lists it as uncharacterized. The transcript is spliced from 2 exons. NCBI's taxonomy places the organism in Eukaryota, Viridiplantae, Streptophyta, Magnoliopsida, Poales, Poaceae. The record is from RefSeq and is a predicted model, not a curated record.
CCCACCGGCCUCAACUUGGCUAUGGCGACGGGGAGACGAGGAUCAACAACUCCUCUCCACUGCCUUCUCCACCGCCGCCCGCCACACGCCUCCCCGCGUCCCUCCUUCAUCCCCGUCCCCGAUUGGGCCGCCGCCACCACCGCACCAUCAGGGGACGCCAGGGGAGUGCAACCACCGCGCCGCCAGGGCCGGCAAUGCGUGAGCCGCCGCGGGUACCGCGCCGAUUGCUGCUUCUGACGAUGCGGGAGCCGCCCCAUCCGGCGAGGACGAGGGGCGCCGUCACCGCUGAUCCUCACUUCCUCAGGGCGCAUGCUGCAUCUGAAGCCUCCCUAAUGCGCUCCUCCACUCCGUUUCUAACACGUAGUUCAUACCUGGCUCGCCGCUGCCAUGCGCCGCUGAGCUCUGGAGCAGCCGCUGUCGAAGCCCAUCGCCAGCCGUCCUUGGGUGGGCCGGCGCCGAAACUCGGCUCCCAGUGGCAUCCCCGCUCGAGGUCCUUCUCCACCUCAUAUUCGGCAGAGUUCCUGAUUUCCUCACUUCUCCUGAGAUGAAGUCUAUUGAUGAUGUGCCAAUGUGAAGGUACCACUGUGCUUUUCAAUGCAAUGUGGAGAUAAAACUUCUAGCCAAUGUGAAUUCAAUAUUAUAUUUAUUUUCUUAAAACUACAGUGGUAUCCAUGUUAGUACAGAACUACAGAUCAUUUUAUCUUUCCCUUUUGUAGGUUAUUUCUUUUAUACUUUACGACUGCUUCAAUAUUCAAGAUUUGCUUCCGGUCUUC